RNAcentral lists this ribosomal RNA (283 nucleotides) under uncultured bacterium. Its description in RNAcentral is "partial 16S ribosomal RNA". It matches the Rfam family "Bacterial small subunit ribosomal RNA", at positions 28 to 313 of the family's 1533-position model. The record is from RNAcentral.
GACGAACGCUGGCGGCGUGCUUAACACAUGCAAGUCGAGCGGUAAGGCCCUUUCGGGGGUACACGAGCGGCGAACGGGUGAGUAACACGUGGGUGACCUGCCCUUAGCUCUGGGAUAAGCCUGGGAAACUGGGUCUAAUACCGGAUAUGACUCCAUGACGCAUGUUGUGGGGUGGAAAGCCUUGUGCGGCUAGGGAUGGGCCCGCGGCCUAUCAGCUUGUUGGUGGGGUGAUGGCCACCAAGGCGACGACGGGUAGCCGGCCUGAGAGGGCGACCGGCCACAC